RNAcentral lists this ribosomal RNA (253 nucleotides) under uncultured bacterium. Its description in RNAcentral is "partial 16S ribosomal RNA". It matches the Rfam family "Bacterial small subunit ribosomal RNA", at positions 524 to 776 of the family's 1533-position model. The record is from RNAcentral.
UACGAAGGGGGCUAGCGUUGCUCGGAAUCACUGGGCGUAAAGGGUGCGUAGGCGGGCCGUCAAGUCAGGGGUGAAAUCCUCCGGCUCAACCGGAGAACAGCUUUUGAUACUGGCGGCCUCGAGGGGGGUAGGGGCAUGUGGAACUUCCGGUGGAGCGGUGAAAUGCGUAGAUAUCUGGAGGAACACCGGUGGCGAAGGCGGCAUCCUGGACCAAUUCUGACGCUGAGGAGCGAAAGCCAGGGGAGCAAACGGG